Molecule: long non-coding RNA, 1059 nt
Filed under: Crocodylus porosus (Australian saltwater crocodile)
Lineage: Eukaryota; Metazoa; Chordata; Crocodylia; Crocodylidae
Description: lncRNA (ENSCPRG00005012612.1)
Source: RNAcentral
AUGCCUAACUCUGCAUGGGGAAUUGGAGACUGCCGAAAGCAGUGGUUCUCAACCAUCUUAGACUCACGGCACCCUUGGAUAGACUUGCGGCACCCUUCAGAAAAUGCCAGCUCUNCCUGCAGGUUCUACCUGCUCCUUCAAAGACUUUAUUCCCCCUACCCUCCUCCCACUGCCCCCAGCAGCCUACAUAUAUAAGCCUACCAUGAGAUAGCUCCAGUUGUCAGCCUCUCAUACCUGCUUCCUGACCAGGGCAGGAUUAGACCCUGUUUGGCUAAAAAAAAGUUUAGAGCCAAUUUUUCAGAACCAACCAGUGGGUUUUUGGGGGGUGGGUUUUGCCUGUUUUGGUUUUUUGGGGGGGAGGUGGGGGGGAAGGGAAGCAGGGAAUGGCAGCUGAAGACAUCAGGAAGAGUUUUCAGAAAGGGCUGAGCACACCCCUCUGAGAGCCAUGCACCGUUAACAGGUCUCCAGAAGGGCACCUAAGAAAUGAUGCACUCAAACUCUCUGGUUGCUUGCAAUAGGCCACAAGACCAUCUUGCGUUCUUGCAGUGGGGAACUCACAUGACGGAGUGAUGUGCGCUGUAAGAGCACGGAUAGACAGACAGACAGAUCAACAGCCAGAAAACCCAGUCAGGAAAUAUCCAGCUUCUGGUACCUACAACAACAGAUCAACCAUGAUCUUGCAUUGAAAUCAGAUUGCAUUGGUCCAGAUUUCUACCUCCGUAGACCAUCCGUUUGUUUCUUUUUUUAUUAGCAAUAAGUGUAAACAUAACUUACAUAUGUUUUUUUACAUUUAUUAUCCUUGGUUAAAAAAAUUAUGACAAGAGGGAUGUAAGAAAAACAAAAAACUUUGUGGAAACUGAACAUCCCAACCGUCCCAACUUGCCUUUGAAUUCCAGAUCUCUCAGGUGGGAUUUUGCAGGCAAGAUCUAACACAUCACCUUGCUUCACUGCUCAGGAAAGGAGAGUUUGCUAGCACUCAGAGGAACAGAUUAGGGCUGUAUUGUUUGACCGGGGACUAUUUUCUGUGAGGGUGGGUAAAGAGGCAAACAGCAUGGCUGU